This 253-nucleotide ribosomal RNA is filed under the name uncultured bacterium. RNAcentral's name for it is "partial 16S ribosomal RNA". It matches the Rfam family "Bacterial small subunit ribosomal RNA", at positions 524 to 776 of the family's 1533-position model. The record is from RNAcentral.
UACGAAGGGGGCUAGCGUUGCUCGGAAUCACUGGGCGUAAAGGGUGCGUAGGCGGGUCUUUAAGUCAGGGGGGAAAUCCUGGAGCUCAACUCCAGAACUGCCUUUGAUACUGAAGAUCUUGAGUUCGGGAGAGGUAAGUGGAACUGCGAGUGUAGAGGUGAAAUUCGUAGAUAUUCGCAAGAACACCAGUGGCGAAGGCGGCUUACUGGUCCGGUUCUGACGCUGAGGCGCGAAAGCGUGGGGAGCAAACAGG